Long non-coding RNA from Leopardus geoffroyi (Geoffroy's cat), 487 nucleotides. RefSeq lists it as uncharacterized. The record is from RefSeq and is a predicted model, not a curated record. Lineage: Eukaryota; Metazoa; Chordata; Mammalia; Carnivora; Felidae. The transcript has 3 exons.
GCAGGUAGGCCUGGCCGGGAUAGCCACCCUGUCCGCUGGGCCUGGGGUCAGUGCCCUGGCCUGUUUGCCUAAGGGGGUGGGUUCAAGCUGGCAUGGAAGUGGCUCACUGCCAUGGCCAAGGCGAGCCGAGGGCCCCUCCUUCUGGGGCUCCAGGAGCAUCUUCGGAGCAACCAGCAACCGCCUAAAACCAAAGAUUAAGGUGAUACAACCUACAUCAAAGAGUCAUUGUGAGGACUGCACGACAUCCACAGCCCUCUUCACACCACGUUCUGCAAAUAAUAAUAACACCAAGAGGAAAAAGCUGUUUGAAUCCUCACAACGACCGGGCUGAGGCACUCCACUAUAACCACUCGGAUCUUAACAAGAGAGGCCAUUUCCAGCCAAAGGGUGGCUUUUUCUCUCCUGUCUCCUGCUCCCAAGAGAGACUGCGCUGCUGGGGAAAAGACAGCAAAACGGUCCCUCCUUCUGUUGUGGUUGUAAAGUGUCA